GACGUAGGGGGCGAGCGUUGUCCGGAUUUAUUGGGCGUAAAGCGCGCGCAGGCGGUUCGGAUAGUCGGGUGUGAAAAUCCGGGGCUCAACCCCGGACCUGCAUCCGAUACUUCCGGACUGGAGGCAGGUAGGGGAGAGCGGAAUUCCCGGUGUAGCGGUGAAAUGCGCAGAUAUCGGGAAGAACACCGGUGGCGAAGGCGGCUUCCUGGACCGACACUGACGCUGAGGCGCGAAAGCUAGGGGAGCAAACGGG
RNAcentral lists this ribosomal RNA (253 nucleotides) under uncultured bacterium. RNAcentral describes it as "partial 16S ribosomal RNA". It matches the Rfam family "Bacterial small subunit ribosomal RNA", at positions 524 to 776 of the family's 1533-position model. The record is from RNAcentral.